UUAAAGUUUUAUUCUUGCUUAGAGAUUAAUUUAAUGAAUAUUUUAUAUGUAAAUUUUUGUGUGAAUAUUAAUUAUCUAAAUGAUUAUAUAUAUUUAUUCGCAGUAUUUAGUUUUAGUAAAUUGAAGAAAUUUAGAAUUAGUAAUUUAUUAUAGUAUCGGCAAAAGUCGUGCCAGCUGCCGCGGUUAUACGGAGGAUACAAAUUAAUAUUUUUAGUUGAAAGUUUAUUUUUUUUUUGUGAAUUAAUUUUUUAAAUUUUUAGGUAAAAUUUUAAAUUUUAAUUAUAUUUCUUAUGAAUUAAAUGAGGCUUUGAAACUUUAAUUUUAAACUAGGAUUAGAUACCCUAUUAUUUAAAGUGUUAAUUAAUAUAGGCUUGAGUAGUAAUAGUUAAGUUCUUGAAACUCAAAGAAUUUGGCGGUGUUUUAGUCUAUUCAGAGGAAUCUGUCCCGUUAUCGAUAAUUCACGAAUUAUUUUACUUAAUUUGGUAUAAUCAAUUUGUAUACCGCCGUCAUCAGAUUAUUCUUUUAGGAUAUUUUCUAUAAAUUUAAUUGAAUUGUAUGUCAGGUCAAGGUGCAGUUUAUAAUUAAGUGGGAGAUGGAUUACAAUAAAAUUAUUUAUUAUGGAUAUUAAAAUGAAAUUUUUGAUUUAAGGUGGAUUUGACAGUAAUUUUAUAGAAUUUAUAAUUUGAUUAUAGCUCUAAAACAUGUACACAUCGCCCGUCGCUCUCGUUAUUAAGGCGAGAUAAGUCGUAACAUAGUAGAUGUACUGGAAAGUGUAUCUAGGAAGUUUA
Molecule: non-coding RNA, 788 nt
Filed under: Anabropsis carnarius
Lineage: Eukaryota; Metazoa; Arthropoda; Insecta; Orthoptera; Anostostomatidae
Source: RNAcentral